GACGAACGCUGGCGGCGUGCCUAAUACAUGCAAGUAGAACGCUGAAGGCGGAGCUUGCUUCUCUGGAUGAGUUGCGAACGGGUGAGUAACGCGUAGGUAACCUGCCUGGUAGCGGGGGAUAACUAUUGGAAACGAUAGCUAAUACCGCAUAAUAGUAGAUGUUGCAUGACAUUUGCUUAAAAGGUGCAAUUGCAUCACUACCAGAUGGACCUGCGUUGUAUUAGCUAGUUGGUGGGGUAACGGCUCACCAAGGCGACGAUGCAUAGCCGACCUGAGACGGUGAGCAGCCACACUGAGAGUGUGACACGGCCCAGACUGCUACAGGAGGGAGCAGUAGUGAAUCUGGGGCAAGGGGCGGAAGUCUGACCGAGCAACGCGGCGUGAGUGAAGAAGGUCUUCGGAUCGUAAAGCUCGGUUGUAAGAGAAGAACGAGUGUGAGAGUGGAAAGAUCACUCUGUGACGGUAUCUUACCAGAAAGGGACGGCUAACUACGUG
Molecule: ribosomal RNA, 495 nt
Filed under: uncultured bacterium
Lineage: Bacteria
Description: partial 16S ribosomal RNA
Rfam family: Bacterial small subunit ribosomal RNA
Source: RNAcentral